AGCGAACGCUGGCGGCAGGCUUAACACAUGCAAGUCGAACGGGCGUAGCAAUACGUCAGUGGCAGACGGGUGAGUAACGCGUGGGAACGUACCUUUUGGUUCGGAACAACCCAGGGAAACUUGGGCUAAUACCGGAUAAGCCCUUACGGGGAAAGAUUUAUCGCCGAAAGAUCGGCCCGCGUCUGAUUAGCUAGUUGGUGAGGUAACGGCUCACCAAGGCAACGAUCAGUAGCUGGUCUGAGAGGAUGAUCAGCCACAUUGGGACUGAGACACGGCCCAAACUCCUACGGGAGGCAGCAGUGGGGAAUAUUGGACAAUGGGCGCAAGCCUGAUCCAGCCAUGCCGCGUGAGUGAUGAAGGCCUUC
Molecule: ribosomal RNA, 365 nt
Filed under: uncultured bacterium
Lineage: Bacteria
Description: bacterial SSU rRNA
Rfam family: Bacterial small subunit ribosomal RNA
Source: RNAcentral